CGCCUGGGGAGUACGGCCGCAAGGUUAAAACUCAAAUGAAUUGACGGGGGCCCGCACAAGCGGUGGAGCAUGUGGUUUAAUUCGACGCAACGCGAAGAACCUUACCUGGCCUUGACAUCCAGAGAGCUUUCCAGAGAUGGAUUGGUGCCUUCGGGAACUCUGAGACAGGUGCUGCAUGGCCGUCGUCAGCUCGUGUCGUGAGAUGUUGGGUUAAGUCCCGUAACGAGCGCAACCCCUAUCCCUGGUUGCUAGCAGGUAAUGCUGAGAACUCCAGGGAGACUGCCGGUGACAAACCGGAGGAAGGUGGGGAUGACGUCAGGUCAUCAUGGCCCUUACGGCCAGGGCUACACACGUGCUACAAUGGCGCGUACAGAGGGCUGCCAACUCGCGAGAGUGAGCCAAUCCCUUAAAACGCGUCGUAGUCCGGAUCGGAGUCUGCAACUCGACUCCGUGAAGUCGGAGUCGCUAGUAAUCGCGAAUCAGAAUGUCGCGGUGAAUACGUUCCCGGGCCUUGUACACACCGCCCGUCACACCAUGGGAGUGGAUUGCACCAGAAGUAGUUAGUCUAACCUUCGGGAGGACGAUUACCACGGUGUGGUUCAUGACUGGGGGUGAAGUCGUAACAAGGUAACCGUA
RNAcentral lists this ribosomal RNA (636 nucleotides) under uncultured Marinobacter sp. RNAcentral's name for it is "bacterial SSU rRNA". It matches the Rfam family "Bacterial small subunit ribosomal RNA", at positions 870 to 1504 of the family's 1533-position model. Lineage: Bacteria; Pseudomonadati; Pseudomonadota; Gammaproteobacteria; Pseudomonadales; Marinobacteraceae. The record is from RNAcentral.